UACGGGGGGAGCAGUCGUUGUCGGAAUUUACUGGGCGUAAAGGGCGCGUAGGCGGCUCUUCAAGUCAGCCGUGAAAUCUCCAGGCUUAACCUGGGAAGGGUCGGUUGAUACUGUCGAGCUAGAGUGUGGAAGAGGCAACUGGAAUUCCGUGUGUAGCGGUGAAAUGCGUAGAUAUGACGGAGGAACACCUGCGGCGAAGGCGGGUUGCGCUGGGCCAACACGUGACGCUGAGGCGCGAAAGCUAGGGGUAGCAAACGGG
RNAcentral lists this ribosomal RNA (259 nucleotides) under uncultured bacterium. Its description in RNAcentral is "partial 16S ribosomal RNA". It matches the Rfam family "Bacterial small subunit ribosomal RNA", at positions 524 to 776 of the family's 1533-position model. The record is from RNAcentral.